AAGAGUGUGCACGCUUUGCCGGGAGAUGGAGAAAUGCCAUUCACAGGAGCUGUCUGUGCCUAACAGUUUCUUAAGCUAUGGGACAGACAACAGGAGUUAUUCUCAGGAACUAGUUUGCAUUGGGUUGCAUAGUGGUUAUCUGUCAUUAAUCUGACAUUUGGGGCUGUCUCAUUUUACUGCUGCUCUGAUUGUUAGGAGUAAGACUGCUGUUAGCACAAGUUUACUUCUAAAGUUUGCUCAGCAGACAUCCAACUCCUGCAGUCCAGCAGGCUCACUGGAGUUGGCAGUCACAGGGCCUGAAGAACUGGACUCAGUUUGCAGUUCCCCACAACGCACGUCCUUAAAGCAAGACGCUUACCCUGCCUUAAAGAGAAACCAGUGCAAAGCAGUGCACUGAUUUUUGUUUUUUACUCCUUCUAUAUCGACACAUCUUCUGUUACUGCAUUUAUCUGCACAUCCAAGCAAUGAAGAAAAAAAAACAACCAACCAUGAAGUUUUCAAUUCAAUCCUGGCACAAACAGCACAAUUCCCUUGGACACCAGUGCAUAUUGCACCCAGUAAUAUCAUGAUAUGACCUGAGACUACAUUUUCUCCUUCAACACCCUUGAACAGCUCUAAGAACAUGGCAAGGCACUAGAUUUUGUUAUUAACUCAUUCAUACUGAGCCUUCAUUUCCGUCAUGCUUCAACCUCAU
Pseudopipra pipra is the source of this 694-nucleotide long non-coding RNA. RefSeq lists it as uncharacterized. The record is from RefSeq and is a predicted model, not a curated record. NCBI's taxonomy places the organism in Eukaryota, Metazoa, Chordata, Aves, Passeriformes, Pipridae. The transcript is spliced from 3 exons.